RNAcentral lists this long non-coding RNA (1170 nucleotides) under Phaseolus vulgaris (common bean). RNAcentral's name for it is "long non-coding RNA (PVUL_LNC001945)". Lineage: Eukaryota; Viridiplantae; Streptophyta; Magnoliopsida; Fabales; Fabaceae. The record is from RNAcentral.
CAUACUAUUACAAGUCACCUCCUCCUCCAUCUCCAGUUUACAUAUACAAGUCACCACCUCCUCCAUCACCUACUUAUGUUUACAAGUCACCACCACCACCAGUGAAGUCACCUCCCUAUUACUAUCAAUCUCCACCUCCACCAUCACCAAAACCUCAGCCUCCUUAUUAUUAUCACUCUCCACCUCCUCCAACACCAGUUGUUAAGCCACCAUACUACUACCAAUCUCCACCUCCUCCAUCUCCAAAACCUAAGCCUCCAUACUACUACCAAUCUCCUCCUCCUCCAUCACCAAAACCUAAACCUCCUUACUACUACCAAUCUCCACCUCCUCCAUCACCAAAACCUCAGCCUCCAUACUACUAUCAAUCUCCACCUCCUCCAACACCAGUUGUGAAGCCACCAUACUACUACCAAUCUCCACCUCCUCCAUCACCAAAACCUCAGCCUCCUUACUAUUACCAAUCUCCACCUCCUCCAACACCAGUUGUUAAGCCACCAUACUACUAUAAAUCUCCACCUCCCCCAUCACCCUCUCCUCCACCACCAUACUACUACAAAUCUCCACCACCACCAUCCCCAUCACCGCCACCUCCAUACUACUAUAAAUCUCCACCUCCACCAUCACCGGUUGUUAAGCCACCAUACUACUAUAAAUCCCCACCUCCCCCAUCACCCUCUCCUCCCCCUCCAUACUACUAUAAAUCUCCACCUCCAUACUACUACCACUCUCCACCUCCACCAUCACCAGUUGUUAAGCCACCAUACUACUACAAAUCUCCACCUCCACCAUCACCCUCACCUCCCCCUCCAUACUACUAUAAAUCUCCACCCCCACCUUCACCAUCCCCUCCUCCUCCAUACUAUUAUAAAUCACCACCACCACCAUCCCCAUCACCGCCACCUCCAUACUAUUACAAAUCCCCUCCACCUCCAUCCCCAUCUCCACCGCCUCCUUAUUACUAUCACAGUCCUCCUCCACCAUCUCCCACUCCUCAUCCUCCCUACUACUACAAAUCCCCUCCACCACCAACGUCCUAUCCUCCACCUCCUUACCACUAUGUGAGCCCUCCACCACCUUCUCCAUCUCCACCUCCACCAUACUAUUACAAAUCACCACCUCCUCCCUCCCCAGCCCCCGCUCCAAAGUACAUUUACAAAUCACCUCCAC